UGGGGAAUAUUGGACAAUGGGCGCAAGCCUGAUCCAGCCAUGCCGCGUGAGUGACGAAGGCCUUAGGGUUGUAAAGCUCUUUUGGCGGGGAAGAUAAUGACGGUACCCGCAGAAUAAGCUCCGGCUAACUUCGUGCCAGCAGCCGCGGUAAUACGAAGGGAGCUAGCGUUGUUCGGAAUCACUGGGCGUAAAGCGCACGUAGGUGGGCAGUUAAGUCAGGGGUGAAAGCCCGAGGCUCAACCUCGGAAUUGCCUCUGAUACUGGCUGUCUAGAGUUCGAGAGAGGUGAGUGGAAUUCCUAGUGUAGAGGUGAAAUUCGUAGAUAUUAGGAAGAACACCGGUGGCGAAGGCGGCUCACUGGCUCGAUACUGACACUGAGGUGCGAAAGCGUGGGGAGCAAACAGGAUUAGAUACCCCUGUAGUCCCUGAGCGGGCUGGCAAGGCGCAU
RNAcentral lists this ribosomal RNA (447 nucleotides) under uncultured bacterium. Its description in RNAcentral is "bacterial SSU rRNA". It matches the Rfam family "Bacterial small subunit ribosomal RNA", at positions 355 to 825 of the family's 1533-position model. The record is from RNAcentral.